GGGACAGAUAUGAAUAGUCCUCAUGGAAUACCUGUUGACUUGUUGGACCGCUUGGUGAUUAUCCGAACACAAAUUUAUGGUCCUGCGGAAAUGAUACAGAUUUUAGCAAUUCGUGCACAGGUAGAGGAACUGAUUGUAGAUGAGGAAAGUUUGGCAUUUCUUGGAGAGAUUGGUCAACGCUCAUCCUUAAGACAUGCAGUUCAGCUGUUAUCACCUGCCAGCAUUGUGGCAAAAAUGAAUGGCCGAGACAACAUUUGCAAGGCGGACCUUGAGGAAGUGAGUGCAUUGUAUCUAGAUGCCAAAUCUUCGGCCAAGCUACUUCAAGAGCAGCAGGAAAAGUACAUCUCAUGAUAAUAUCAACUGAUUUUUCUGGAUAUUCAAGAG
RNAcentral lists this unclassified non-coding RNA (384 nucleotides) under Hevea brasiliensis (rubber tree). Lineage: Eukaryota; Viridiplantae; Streptophyta; Magnoliopsida; Malpighiales; Euphorbiaceae. The record is from RNAcentral.